RNAcentral lists this ribosomal RNA (1353 nucleotides) under uncultured bacterium. RNAcentral describes it as "bacterial SSU rRNA". It matches the Rfam family "Bacterial small subunit ribosomal RNA", at positions 43 to 1397 of the family's 1533-position model. The record is from RNAcentral.
CAGGCCUAACACAUGCAAGUCGAACGGCAGCACGGAGCUUGCUCUGGUGGCGAGUGGCGAACGGGUGAGUAAUAUAUCGGAACGUACCCUAGAGUGGGGGAUAACGUAGCGAAAGUUACGCUAAUACCGCAUACGAUCUAAGGAUGAAAGUGGGGGAUCGCAAGACCUCAUGCUCGUGGAGCGGCCGAUAUCUGAUUAGCUAGUUGGUAGGGUAAAAGCCUACCAAGGCAUCGAUCAGUAGCUGGUCUGAGAGGACGACCAGCCACACUGGAACUGAGACACGGUCCAGACUCCUACGGGAGGCAGCAGUGGGGAAUUUUGGACAAUGGGCGAAAGCCUGAUCCAGCAAUGCCGCGUGAGUGAAGAAGGCCUUCGGGUUGUAAAGCUCUUUUGUCAGGGAAGAAACGGUGAGAGCUAAUAUCUCUUGCUAAUGACGGUACCUGAAGAAUAAGCACCGGCUAACUACGUGCCAGCAGCCGCGGUAAUACGUAGGGUGCAAGCGUUAAUCGGAAUUACUGGGCGUAAAGCGUGCGCAGGCGGUUUUGUAAGUCUGAUGUGAAAUCCCCGGGCUCAACCUGGGAAUUGCAUUGGAGACUGCAAGGCUAGAAUCUGGCAGAGGGGGGUAGAAUUCCACGUGUAGCAGUGAAAUGCGUAGAUAUGUGGAGGAACACCGAUGGCGAAGGCAGCCCCCUGGGUCAAGAUUGACGCUCAUGCACGAAAGCGUGGGGAGCAAACAGGAUUAGAUACCCUGGUAGUCCACGCCCUAAACGAUGUCUACUAGUUGUCGGGUCUUAAUUGACUUGGUAACGCAGCUAACGCGUGAAGCAGACCGCCUGGGGAGUACGGUCGCAAGAUUAAAACUCAAAGGAAUUGACGGGGACCCGCACAAGCGGUGGAUGAUGUGGAUUAAUUCGAUGCAACGCGAAAAACCUUACCUACCCUUGACAUGGCUGGAAUCCUUGAGAGAUCAGGGAGUGCUCGAAAGAGAGCCAGUACACAGGUGCUGCAUGGCUGUCGUCAGCUCGUGUCGUGAGAUGUUGGGUUAAGUCCCGCAACGAGCGCAACCCUUGUCAUUAGUUGCUACGAAAGGGCACUCUAAUGAGACUGCCGGUGACAAACCGGAGGAAGGUGGGGAUGACGUCAAGUCCUCAUGGCCCUUAUGGGUAGGGCUUCACACGUCAUACAAUGGUACAUACAGAGCGCCGCCAACCCGCGAGGGGGAGCUAAUCGCAGAAAGUGUAUCGUAGUCCGGAUUGUAGUCUGCAACUCGACUGCAUGAAGUUGGAAUCGCUAGUAAUCGCGGAUCAGCAUGUCGCGGUGAAUACGUUCCCGGGUCUUGUACACACCGCCCGU